Molecule: long non-coding RNA, 3911 nt
Organism: Metopolophium dirhodum (rose-grain aphid)
Lineage: Eukaryota; Metazoa; Arthropoda; Insecta; Hemiptera; Aphididae
Exons: 9
Source: RefSeq, a predicted model, not a curated record
AAAUAAAUACAUAAUAAUAUUAUUUUUUCGUUUGCCGACGUUUGAAUCACUCGCGAAUCGCAAUUAUUUGAAAUUUGAACAGAAAUACAGACAACAGUCGUGCAAAGUUCUAUUGAUACAUUUUAGUACAAAAUCACCAUGGAUAAGUGUAUUCUUUUUAGUAAAACAUCCAAACUAUCGCCCCGCCACAUUACGUUAAUUUUCAUUUAUUUCCAAAAAAUCAACGAACUAAAUGAUUAUCCCAAUUUCUACCCGACAUAGAAUCUGCGGUGAUCAUUUCACAAUCAGUGAUUGUAAACAAUGCUCAGUAAAUUAGUAAACAUGGUCAGAGGCAGUCACAAAACAGAAUCCAAACCACUUAUCUGGGAUAGAGAAGUAAAAUUAAUUUUAGUCAUUUACGGCAACAUUGGUACUACUCUGAGCACGACUAGGAAAUCGUAUCUAAGAGCUUGACGUUUUCAGAAAACUUUGUUUCUCCAACGAUGAGUGAGCAGAUAAUGCACAGCGAAUAAAGGAUUUGGAGGCCUUACAGUUGAUGAUUUUAAAUUGCCUGGAAAAGUCUUAGAUACCUAAUAAUGUCUAAUUCACACACAUUUAUUUCAUACAAUGGAUUAUACUUAUUAUUGUUUUCAAAACAGAAAUAUAUGAUGUACCACAUACAAGGAACUAAGAAGUGUAGCCAAUGUAUUGACAAUUUUUCAGACGUUGAAACCAAACGUUGAGCUAUGAAACUUAAAGGUGGGAAUAUUGUUGAUAGGUUUUUAUUCCAAAUCUAUUUUACUGUGCUAUUAACUAACAUACCCACCUGUUCAUGGGACACAUUGUAUAAUAUCUAAUUGUGUGCGUGGACAUAUAUUUGUCUAUUGAAAGGAUUCAGCCCCUUGAGUCAAAAUAAAUUAAUAAAUAAAUAAUUAUAUGUUACAUUCUUAAAAUAUCCAAAACUUGUAUGAAAAAUUAAAUACAAAUAUAAUAAGUGCUUCCCCAUAAGGUCCCUUAAAAAAUGUCAUAUAGGCUGUUAAACGAGUUGGGAUGUUGUGCAGUAAGUACAUUUAUUUAUCAUAGUAAUAAUAAUUUUCAAAUUUAAUUAAAUAUGUAAAUUAAAGGUUUACAGAUCCUCAAACCCGUUCCCAUUUAUGGAUCUUAUAUCUCAACAAGGAAAGACAAACUUCUUUGAAAAAAGAGUUGGCGAUUAUCAAAAAGCUUCAGUAGCUGUUAUUGAAACUCCUCAAUUGUCGACAAUGGACAUAACUGAACAAGACUUUUAAAUUAGGUAUAUUCUGAUAGCCGCAGUAUUUCCUUCUAUUUGUGUACUUAUUUAUUCUAUGUUUCCCCAUCCACCACCCAUCAGAGGGUUAUUAGUUACAUUAUUUAACGAAGCCGCACUAUGCACUCUGAAUUAUAUUUGUGAAUAAAAUUAUUUUAUCAAUGACGUAUUUAUAGUUAUAAGAAAACUUUAUUUUUAAAUAUUAUAACAAAAAAGAAAAGUAUUUAAAAUCAUUAUAAAUUAUACUAUCAUACUUUUUAUAUUUGUCGUAUUUAUAGUGUAAUUGUAAUUUAAAAUUUAGAAAUAUAUGACAAAUUUGUUGUAAUUUAUUGUUAUACUUAAUCUUUUUUUUUUAAUUUCCCGUUAGCAGCAGUUAUUUUUACAUACUAGAUAAAUUCUUACUGAAUAAGAGAAAAUAGAUUGUAAUAUAAUGUAAGAUUUGACUGUAGUAAACCUUGUGAUUAAUAUGUUAAUUUCAACUUUAUAAUUUAAGCAUUUCAGUUUUUAUUAAAUUCAUUUCUUUACAUUGUAUUAUGAUUAGAGAGCGGAUUUGUAUGCAUUUGCAUAUUUAUUCUGGUCGAUCUUACACUAUGCUGAGUGACCACAGAAUUUGUUUUUAUGACCAUAACAAUUUAAACUGGAACUGCUGCAUAUUUUGAUAGUUAACUCAUUUUUAUUAAUUUAAGGACGUGUUUUAUGAUUUUCAUUGCAUAUUUCUUUGUUUUUAAUGGAUAUUUUUGAAUUGAUAACUACUGCAAUAUUGACAAAAAAAAAGAUAAAAGUAAAUAAGGAAUUCAAUUUUGUCAUUUAUAGUUAUACACAGUACCCAUAUUGCAUUUAUAUUUUAUUUGCAUAAAAUAUUGUUUGGCGCCCAAAACAGAAUUAAUGCAACUUUUCAUACUACCUUAGGUUGCUGACAUGAAUAAUAUAAUAAAAUGUAAAGGCCAUCUCUAUACUAAGAGAAUAGGUACUGGGAAUUUCGACCUCCCCAAAGCAACAACUGGAUUCACUUUUCCACCGGAAAAGAUGAGAAGCGAAUCAUUAUUUCGACUACUUAUCGUGCACAAAAUAAAAUAAAAAAAAAAAAUUACGCAGAUCGUAAAUUUGCUAAUACUUUCAAUAUAGGUCGAUUCACUCUAAUUUUUAAUAUGACGAUGCUAAAUGUGAUAUGCCGAUCGUAAAUUUACUAUACAAGACGAAGACAGUAAAAUGCCCGUGUUACGUCUUAAAUCGUGGGUCAUGGAGUUGCAUCGUUCUCGAAAUUUCGGACUUCGGUAAAAUUUAAAGCCCGCGAUUCUGUCUUAUCACUAUGAUAGUAAUAAUUGUUAUCAAAUAAAUAACAACAUAAUAUUAUUAUUUUUUCGUUUGCCGGACUUUAAAUUCGGAUCACUCGCGAAUCGCGAUUAUUUGAAAAUUUGAACGAAGAAUACAGACUACAGUCGUACAGAGUUCUAUUGAUACAUUUUAGUACAAAAUCACCAUGGAUAAGUGUAUUCUUUUUAGUAAAACAUCCAAAGUAUCGCCUCGCCACAUUACGUUAAUAUUCAUUUAUUUCCAAAAAAUCAACGAAUUAAAUGAUUAUCCCAAUUUCUACCCGACAUAGAAUCUGUGAUUGUAAACAAUGCUCAGUAAAUUAGUAAACAUGGUCAGAGGCUGUCUCAAAACAUAAUCCAAACCACUUGUCUGGGAUGGAGAAGUAAAAUAAAUUUUAGCCAUUUACGGCAACAUUGGUACUACUCUGAGCACGACCAGGAAUUCACAUCUAAGAGAAAACAGUGUUUCUCCAACGAUGAGUUAGCAGAAAAUGAACAGCGAAUAAAGGAUUUGGAGGCCUUACAGUUGAUGAGUUUAAUUCGCCCAGAAAAGUCUUCGAUACUUAAUAAUGUCUAAUCCACACACUUAUUUCAUACAAUGGAUUAUUGUUUUCUAAACAGAAAUAUAUGAUGUACCACAUACAAGGAACUAAGAAGUGGAGCCAAUGUAUUGACAAUUUUUCAGACGUCGAACUAUGAAACUUAAAGGUGGUAAUACUGUUGGUAAUACAAUUUUGCUGAGCAAGAAUCCAAUUUUAAUAACGCCGAGGGCCUCAACACAUUUAAAUUGCAAAAAAAACACGUAACUAGUCUGGACAUUGGUAUCUUUUCUGAAGGGAAAGCACAUCUGGUUGUAUGCUUUGGACAGGUCGUCAAUCCCAUCUACAACGAGGAAAGAUAAAACUUCUUUGCAAAAAACAGUAUGCAAUUACCAAAAAACUUCAGUAGCCGUUCUUAAAAUUCUUCACUAUCAACAAUGGACAUAAUUGAUGAAGACUUUUAAAUUAGGUAUAUUCUUAUAUGUGCCUAUUUCCUUUAAUUUGUAAUUGUUUUUCCUGUGUUUCCCCCCACCACCCAUCAGAAGGAUUAAUUAGUUACUUUAUUUUACCAAAAAUAAACUAUACCUAUGCACUCUGGAGUUAUGUUUGUGAAUAAAAUUAUUUUGUCAAUGACUAAUUUAAGAAAACUUUAUUUUUAAAUUUUAUAAUAAAAAAGAAAAGUAGGCAUUCCAAAUCAUUAUAAUAUCAUAAUUUUCUUUUUUGUUUGUAUUUAUAGUCUAAUUUAUAGUUUUUAUGUAUUUUAAAAUUUAGAAAUACAUGACUUAUGUGGUAAUG